AUUGAACGCUGGCGGCAGGCUUAACACAUGCAAGUCGAGCGGAGAUGAGGUGCUUGCACCUUAUCUUAGCGGCGGACGGGUGAGUAAUGCUUAGGAAUCUGCCUAUUAGUGGGGGACAACAUUCCGACAGGAAUGCUAAUACCGCAUACGUCCUACGGGAGAAAGCAGGGGAUCUUCGGACCUUGCGCUAAUAGAUGAGCCUAAGUCGGAUUAGCUAGUUGGUGGGGUAAAGGCCUACCAAGGCGACGAUCUGUAGCGGGUCUGAGAGGAUGAUCCGCCACACUGGGACUGAGACACGGCCCAGACUCCUACGGGAGGCAGCAGUAGGGAAUAUUGGACAAUGGGGGAACCCCGAUCCAACCAAGCCGGGUGUGUGGAGAAAGCCUUAUGGUUGGAAAGCACUUGUAGCGAGGAGGAGGCUAGUGCGACUAAUACUCGUGGAUAGUGGACGUUACUCACAGAAUAAGCACCGGCUAACUCUGUGCCAGCCGCCGCAGUAA
RNAcentral lists this ribosomal RNA (500 nucleotides) under uncultured bacterium. Its description in RNAcentral is "partial 16S ribosomal RNA". It matches the Rfam family "Bacterial small subunit ribosomal RNA", at positions 30 to 523 of the family's 1533-position model. The record is from RNAcentral.